GGGUAGUUUGACUGGGGCGGUCUCCUCCCAAAGAGUAACGGAGGAGCACGAAGGUUAGCUAAUCCUGGUCGGACAUCAGGAGGUUAGUGCAAUGGCAUAAGCUAGCUUGACUGCGAGCGUGACGGCGCGAGCAGGUGCGAAAGCAGGUCAUAGUGAUCCGGUGGUUCUGAAUGGAAGGGCCAUCGCUCAACGGAUAAAAGGUACUCCGGGGAUAACAGGCUGAUACCGCCCAAGAGUUCAUAUCGACGGCGGUGUUUGGCACCUCGAUGUCGGCUCAUCACAUCCUGGGGCUGAAGUAGGUCCCAAGGGUAUGGCUGUUCGCCAUUUAAAGUGGUACGCGAGCUGGGUUUAGAACGUCGUGAGACAGUUCGGUCCCUAUCUGCCGUGGGCGCUGGAGAAUUGAGGGGGGCUGCUCCUAGUACGAGAGGACCGGAGUGGACGCAUCACUGGUGUUCGGGUUGUCAUGCCAAUGGCAUUGCCCGGUAGCUAAAUGCGGAAGAGAUAAGUGCUGAAAGCAUCUAAGCACGAAACUUGCCCCGAGAUGAGUUCUCCCUGACUCCUUGAGAGUCCUGAAGGAACGUUAAAGACGAUGACGUUGAUAGGUCGGGUGUGUAAGCGUAGCGAUACGUUGAGCUAACCGAUACUAAUGAACCGUGAGG
Molecule: ribosomal RNA, 659 nt
Filed under: Klebsiella aerogenes
Lineage: Bacteria; Pseudomonadati; Pseudomonadota; Gammaproteobacteria; Enterobacterales; Enterobacteriaceae
Description: partial 23S ribosomal RNA
Rfam family: Bacterial large subunit ribosomal RNA
Source: RNAcentral